AUUUCAGUACUCUCUGUUCCUUAUUUUUCCAGUGAGAAGGAAGCUGGCUGGGAGUGUUUGAAAUGAAAAUCAUGUGAUUGCAGCUGACUGUAGCAAUGUCAUGGCAAAGCAGCAUUGGAACAUCCACAAUUUUGCCAAAUUUCAUAUCUGCUGGAGUCACAGGUCCAGGAUUUUGGAUGCAUUCUUCAAGUUAGCCCAUUGAAGGGGACUUCUGAAAAGAAAAGUCAAUGAGAGAAGCUGGAUUCACUCAACAACCACAUGAUUCACUUAGUAACUGCAGCAAAAAGGGUAUAAAAUUGAACAUGGUCACAACUGCAUCACUUAGUGAUGGAAGUUCUAUCCCCAAUGGUGGACACAAGUUGAGGACUACCUGAGAAGAAGGAGUGUGGAUACAGUGAAAGGGAAAAUGGGCGAGCAACAC
This is a long non-coding RNA of Crotalus tigris (Tiger rattlesnake), 421 nucleotides long. RefSeq lists it as uncharacterized. NCBI's taxonomy places the organism in Eukaryota, Metazoa, Chordata, Lepidosauria, Squamata, Viperidae. The record is from RefSeq and is a predicted model, not a curated record. The transcript is spliced from 3 exons.